Molecule: small RNA, 29 nt
Filed under: Bombyx mori (domestic silkworm)
Lineage: Eukaryota; Metazoa; Arthropoda; Insecta; Lepidoptera; Bombycidae
Description: ovarian small RNA-14602
Source: RNAcentral
CUAACAGCUGUCCGAGCGCCUUCAAAGAA